CCUACGGGUGGCAGCAGUGAGGAAUAUUGGUCAAUGGGCGCGAGCCUGAACCAACCAAGUCGCGUGAGGGAAGACGGUCCUAUGGAUUGUAAACCUCUUUUGUCGAGGAGCAAAAGACGCCACGCGUGGCGUUCCGUGAGUACCCGAUGAAAAAGCAUCGGCUAACUCCGUGCCAGCAGCCGCGGUAAUACGGAGGAUGCGAGCGUUAUCCGGAUUUAUUGGGUUUAAAGGGUGCGCAGGCGGAAGAUCAAGUCAGCGGUAAAAUUUGGAGGCUCAACCUUUUCUAGCCGUUGAUACUGGUAGUCUUGAGUAAAUGAGAGGUAGGCGGAAUGCGUGGUGUAGCGGUGAAAUGCAUAGAUAUCACGCAGAACUCCGAUUGCGAAGGCAGCAUACCGGCGCUCAACUGACGCUGAUGCACGAAAGUGUGGGUAUCGAACAGGAUUAGAUACCCCAGUAGUC
Molecule: ribosomal RNA, 459 nt
Filed under: uncultured bacterium
Lineage: Bacteria
Description: partial 16S ribosomal RNA
Rfam family: Bacterial small subunit ribosomal RNA
Source: RNAcentral